GGUAGCCGGUUUAAUAAGUCUUUGGUGAAAGCUUGUAGCUUAACUAUAAGAAUUGCUGGAGAUACUAUUAGACUUGAAGUCGGGAGAGGUUAGAGGUACUACCGGGGUAGGGGUGAAAUCCUAUAAUCCUGGGAGGACCACCUGUGGCGAAGGCGUCUAACUAGAACGAUCUUGACGGUGAGUAACGAAAGCCAGGGGCGCGAACCGGAUUAGAUACCCGGGUAGUCCUGGCCGUAAACGAUGUGGACUUGGUGUUGGAAUGGCUUCGAGUUGUUCCAGUGCCGAAGGGAAGCUGUUAAGUCCACCGCCUGGGAAGUACGGUCGCAAGACUGAAACUUAA
Molecule: ribosomal RNA, 340 nt
Filed under: uncultured archaeon
Lineage: Archaea
Description: bacterial SSU rRNA
Rfam family: Archaeal small subunit ribosomal RNA
Source: RNAcentral